UCAGCCCUUGUGCGGAGCUUCCCGGAACGAAAGUCUUCCGGUUCCGGGGGAAGUAUGGUUGCAAAGCUGAAACUUAAAGGAAUUGACGGAAGGGCACCACCAGGAGUGGAGCCUGCGGCUUAAUUUGACUCAACACGGGGAAACUCACCCGGGCCGGACACCGCGAGGAUUGACAGAUCGAGAGCUCUUUCUUGAUUCGGUGGAUGGUGGUGCAUGGCCGUUCUUAGUUCGUGGAGCGAUUUGUCUGGUUUAUUCCGAUAACGAGCGAGACUCUAGCCUGCUAAAUAGCGGAGGCAUUGCCUCGUGCCCGCCGCUUCUUAGAGGGAUUGGCGGCUCCCAGCCGCACGAAACUGAGCAAUAACAGGUCUGUGAUGCCCUUAGAUGUCCGGGGCUGCACGCGCGCUACACUGGCGAAGGCAGCGUGCCUGUCCUGCCGCGAAGGCGGUGGGUAAACCAUUGAAAAUUCGCCGUGAUUGGGAUCGGAGAUUGCAAUUAUUCUCCGUGAACGAGGAAUUCCAAGUAAGUGCGAGUCAUCAGCUCGCGUUGAUUACGUCC
RNAcentral lists this ribosomal RNA (555 nucleotides) under Malenchus sp. MHt57. RNAcentral's name for it is "SSU rRNA". It matches the Rfam family "Eukaryotic small subunit ribosomal RNA", at positions 1070 to 1652 of the family's 1831-position model. The record is from RNAcentral. Lineage: Eukaryota; Metazoa; Nematoda; Chromadorea; Rhabditida; Tylenchidae.